RNAcentral lists this transfer RNA (85 nucleotides) under Felis catus (domestic cat). It matches the Rfam family "tRNA". From Rfam's summary of the family: Transfer RNA (tRNA) molecules are approximately 80 nucleotides in length. Their secondary structure includes four short double-helical elements and three loops (D, anti-codon, and T loops). The record is from Rfam by way of RNAcentral. Lineage: Eukaryota; Metazoa; Chordata; Mammalia; Carnivora; Felidae.
GCCUGGGUGGCUCAGUCGGUUGAGCGUCCGACUUUGGCCCAAAUCAUGAUCUCACAGUCCGUGGGUUCGAGCCCCGCAUCAGGCU